UCUUAGCUUGCUAAGGCUGAUGGCGACCGGCGCACGGGUGAGUAACACGUAUCCAACCUGCCGUCUACUCUUGGCCAGCCUUCUGAAAGGAAGAUUAAUCCAGGAUGGCAUCAUGAGUUCACAUGUCCGCAUGAUUAAAGGUAUUUUCCGGUAGACGAUGGGGAUGCGUUCCAUUAGAUAGUAGGCGGGGUAACGGCCCACCUAGUCAACGAUGGAUAGGGGUUCUGAGAGGAAGGUCCCCCACAUUGGAACUGAGACACGGUCCAAACUCCUACGGGAGGCAGCAGUGAGGAAUAUUGGUCAAUGGGCGAUGGCCUGAACCAGCCAAGUAGCGUGAAGGAUGACUGCCCUAUGGGUUGUAAACUUCUUUUAUAAAGGAAUAAAGUCGGGUAUGCAUACCCGUUUGCAUGUACUUUAUGAAUAAGGAUCGGCUAACUCCGUGCCAGCAGCCGCGGUAAUACGGAGGAUCCGAGCGUUAUCCGGAUUUAUUGGGUUUAAAGGGAGCGUAGAUGGAUGUUUAAGUCAGUUGUGAAAGUUUGCGGCUCAACCGUAAAAUUGCAGUUGAUACUGGAUGUCUUGAGUGCAGUUGAGGCAGGCGGAAUUCGUGGUGUAGCGGUGAAAUGCUUAGAUAUCACGAAGAACUCCGAUUGCGAAGGCAGCCUGCUAAGCUGCAACU
RNAcentral lists this ribosomal RNA (676 nucleotides) under uncultured Bacteroidales bacterium. RNAcentral's name for it is "bacterial SSU rRNA". It matches the Rfam family "Bacterial small subunit ribosomal RNA", at positions 70 to 741 of the family's 1533-position model. The record is from RNAcentral. Lineage: Bacteria; Pseudomonadati; Bacteroidota; Bacteroidia; Bacteroidales.